RNAcentral lists this long non-coding RNA (506 nucleotides) under Podarcis lilfordi (Lilford's wall lizard). Lineage: Eukaryota; Metazoa; Chordata; Lepidosauria; Squamata; Lacertidae. The record is from RNAcentral.
GUAAGCAGAAACUUUGAUUCCAGGGUUUGAAAUUGACCUCAGGUUUGUUUUUGGUUACAGCUCAUUGUUAGUCUGGAGAGAGUAUAAACAGAAGCCUGGGUUCAGAUGACUCACUAAGUUGAACCUUUGCUUAGCUCAUGGAAUGCAGUGGGGCUUACUUCUGAGUAAUGCACAGAAGUUGCCACGCAGGACAGUUAACAAGGGCCCACCUAAAUUUACAGACCUUUGAGGAAAGAUUAUUUCCUUCCCCCCAGCUUAUUUACUUCUCCAUCUUUUUUUCUAGAAUGUGGAAAGUGAUGUGUGGCUACUGCAUAGAGUAGAAGCAGGCAAACCAGGGUACCACUCACCACUCAACCAUGAAACUCCCUGGGUGACCUUGGCCAGUCACUCUCAGUCUAUCCUUACAGAGUUUUUGUGAAAAGGGGAGGAGAUCCACCAACGCCUCCUUGAGCUUUUUGGACAAAAGGUGGAACUGAUCUUAAAAGUAAUAAUAAAAAUAAAAAGUA